Molecule: long non-coding RNA, 337 nt
Filed under: Nicotiana benthamiana
Lineage: Eukaryota; Viridiplantae; Streptophyta; Magnoliopsida; Solanales; Solanaceae
Description: long non-coding RNA (NBEN_LNC033981)
Source: RNAcentral
AAUACAUUGUCAUAUAAAGUGUAGGACUAAUGUGUAGAUACCCAAAAGAGUAACCUUAGUUAAUGAUGGGCUAACUAAGGUUACAUACAUGUAACCAAGAUUACAUUCUUGUGACCUUUGAGUUUCAUAACUCACAUGUUAUAAUAAGGGGGGUUAUGGUUCCCACAAGAAUGCAAGACAUUCUCUUCUUCUUCGUCCCAUUGAGAGAGAGAGCACAAACUUGUUCAAGAAGGAUUAAGGAGCUUCCACUUAUGGAUUCAGGUACGCUUCCGCUUAUAUUGUUGUUCCAAGUAAUUCGAUAUGAAGGCUAAAGUGUUUUAUUUGGAUUCAUUCCAAC